GGGUUGUGAGGUUAAGCGACUAAGCGUACACGGUGGAUGCCCUGGCAGUCAGAGGCGAUGAAGGGCGUGCUAAUCUGCGAUAAGCGCCGGUAAGGUGAUAUGAACCGUUAUAACCGGCGAUACCCGAAUGGGGAAACCCAGUGUGAUUCGUCACACUAUCAUUAACUGAAUCCAUAGGUUAAUGAGGCGAACCGGGGGAACUGAAACAUCUAAGUACCCCGAGGAAAAGAAAUCAACCGAGAUUCCCCCAGUAGCGGCGAGCGAACGGGGAGGAGCCCAGAGCCUGAAUCAGCAUGUGUGUUAGUGGAAGCGUCUGGAAAGGCGCGCGAUACAGGGUGACAGCCCCGUACACAAAAGCGCAUGUGCUGUGAGCUCGAUGAGUAGGGCGGGACACGUGGUAUCCUGUCUGAAUAUGGGGGGACCAUCCUCCAAGGCUAAAUACUCCUGACUGACCGAUAGUGAACCAGUACCGUGAGGGAAAGGCGAAAAGAACCCCGGCGAGGGGAGUGAAAAAGAACCUGAAACCGUGUACGUACAAGCAGUGGGAGCACAGGUUUACCUGUGUGACUGCGUACCUUUUGUAUAAUGGGUCAGCGACUUAUAUUCUGUAGCAAGGUUAACCGAAUAGGGGAGCCGGAGGGAAACCGAGUCUUAAU
This 656-nucleotide ribosomal RNA is filed under the name Salmonella enterica subsp. enterica serovar Infantis. Its description in RNAcentral is "partial 23S ribosomal RNA". It matches the Rfam family "Bacterial large subunit ribosomal RNA", at positions 1 to 688 of the family's 2925-position model. The record is from RNAcentral. RNAcentral also lists the same sequence under 2 other names. Lineage: Bacteria; Pseudomonadati; Pseudomonadota; Gammaproteobacteria; Enterobacterales; Enterobacteriaceae.